Molecule: ribosomal RNA, 492 nt
Filed under: uncultured bacterium
Lineage: Bacteria
Description: partial 16S ribosomal RNA
Rfam family: Bacterial small subunit ribosomal RNA
Source: RNAcentral
AGUGAACGCUGGCGGUAGGCCUAACACAUGCAAGUCGAACGGCAGCACAGUAAGAGCUUGCUCUUACGGGUGGCGAGUGGCGGACGGGUGAGGAAUACAUCGGAAUCUACUUUUUCGUGGGGGAUAACGUAGGGAAACUUACGCUAAUACCGCAUACGACCUACGGGUGAAAGCAGGGGAUCUUCGGACCUUGCGCGAUUGAAUGAGCCGAUGUCGGAUUAGCUAGUUGGCGGGGUAAAGGCCCACCAAGGCGACGAUCCGUAGCUGGUCUGAGAGGAUGAUCGGCCACACUGGAGCUGAGACACGGUCCAGACCCCUCCGGGAGGCAGCAGUGGGGAAUAUUGGACAAUGGGCGCAAGCCUGGUCCAGCCAUACCGCGUGGGUGAAGAAGGCCUUCGGGUUGUAAAGCCCUUUUGUUGGGAAAGAAAAGCAGCAGGUUAAUACCCCGCUGUUCUGACGGUACCCAAAGAAUAAGCACCGGCUAACUUCGUG